This 463-nucleotide ribosomal RNA is filed under the name uncultured bacterium. RNAcentral describes it as "partial 16S ribosomal RNA". It matches the Rfam family "Bacterial small subunit ribosomal RNA", at positions 28 to 507 of the family's 1533-position model. The record is from RNAcentral.
GAUGAACGCUGACAGAAUGCUUAACACAUGCAAGUCUUUGGCGAAGCUGUGCUCGCACAGCCUAGCCAAGGCGGACGGGUGAGUAACGCGUAAGGAACUUGCCCUGCAGUCAGGGAUAACAGACGGAAACGACUGAUAAGACCUGGUAAAGUCAGGCGGACUCAUGUCCAGCCUGAUGAAAAGAGAUGCUGCAGGAGAGCCUUGCGUCCUAUUAGCUUGUUGGUGGGGUAACGGCCCACCAAGGCGAUGAUAGGUAGCCGGCCUGAGAGGGUGGACGGCCACAAGGGGACUGAGAUACGGCCCUUACUCCUACGGGAGGAAGCAGUGGGGAAUAUUGGACAAUGGGGGCAACCCUGAUCCAGCAAUUCUGUGUGCACGAUGAAGGUUUUCGGAUUGUAAAGUGCUUUCAGCAGGGAAGAAAAAAAUGACGGUACCUGCAGAAGAAGCGACGGCUAAAUACGUG